UACGUAGGGUGCAAGCGUUAAUCGGAAUUACUGGGCGUAAAGCGUGCGCAGGCGGUCCGCUAAGACAGAUGUGAAAUCCCCGGGCUUAACCUGGGAACUGCAUUUGUGACUGGCGGGCUAGAGUAUGGCAGAGGGGGGUAGAAUUCCACGUGUAGCAGUGAAAUGCGUAGAGAUGUGGAGGAAUACCAAUGGCGAAGGCAGCCCCCUGGGCCAAUACAGACGCUCAUGCACGAAAGCGUGGGGGAGCAAGCAGGAUUAGAUACCCUGGUAGUCCACGCCCUAAACGAUGUCAACUAGUUGUCGGGUCUUCAUUGACUUGGUAACGUAGCUAACGCGUGAAGUUGACCGCCUGGGGAGUACGGUCGCAAGAUUAAAACUCAA
RNAcentral lists this ribosomal RNA (381 nucleotides) under uncultured bacterium. Its description in RNAcentral is "bacterial SSU rRNA". It matches the Rfam family "Bacterial small subunit ribosomal RNA", at positions 524 to 904 of the family's 1533-position model. The record is from RNAcentral.